AACAAAGCUGAGCAUAGAAAUAACGAACGACUUGCCAUUCGAGCUUUUAAUAACGACUUUGGUUCAACCUAUUAAAAAAAACACAUGACAGAAUUGUGGAAUUCAGGGAUAUAGUGCUCUCGAUUCGUAACAUUGCUAAGAUUAUGGGAAAA
Drosophila mojavensis is the source of this 152-nucleotide long non-coding RNA. RefSeq lists it as uncharacterized. Lineage: Eukaryota; Metazoa; Arthropoda; Insecta; Diptera; Drosophilidae. The transcript has 2 exons. The record is from RefSeq and is a predicted model, not a curated record.